AGCAACAAGGAGGCGGCGGGCCACAAAGUUGGUUUUUUUAGGUUCUUUUUGUUUUUUUGUUGUUGUUUUUUUACAGUCCUGUCUCUUCUUCUACAGAAAACCGAAAAACAAGACGAGUGAAACAGAAAUCACAACCGGAGAAGCGCGGCGGGGCGAAGUUGGCAACAAGCAGCCACGAAGGCAGAGCAUCGAAGUGUCGGUCAGACGAGUCACAGCUUCACUUUGUGGAGAGAGGGGGGAAAAGAAAAGAAGAAAAAGAAAAAGAGAGAGAGAGAGAGAGAGAUUAAUGAAUUCGCCUCCAGUCCGAGACGAGGCGGUUCUUCUCUCCGGCCGCGAGGAACAGGACGUCGCGCACAGCGCGGCCGCGCGGGAACACUUCGCCGUCUGCGGUCGGACUCCACCGAGCCUGGAGCGGGCUUCCAGAGGGCGACAUUCCCCAAGUGUGGCGGCGCUGGACGAGGAGGAGGAGGAGGAAGAGGAGGGGGGAGGAGGAAGAGGAAGAGGAGGGGGAGGGAGGAGGAGGGGGGGUGCGGUGGGGGUCAAUCGGCGAUCAAUCGCUGCCGGUAACUACACAGCGCGGGAGAAAGUGGUCGCGUCUCAUCGAUUAAAACGUGAUCGUUAUUAAGUGAGUGUCCGCGGCGUCAGCGUGGCCCCGGGGGCCGAUGCGCGGUGCGUCGGGGAGGCGAGAGAAGCAAAGAAAGGAAGAAAGAAAGAAAAAAAAGCUGGGGAAACGUCCCACUCUUCCAUCCAGGAAGUAGACUAGCGGUCAUGCAUGCGCGGAUAUCAGGCUGCUGCUGCUGCUGCUGGUGGUCCCAUCCGACCGGACGGGCUGCGCGCGAGGGGGCGGGGGGGCGCGGAGGGGAAGGGGAGGCGGGUCCUAGAUUUAUUUAUUUAUUUGAUUUCUUUGCUGAAUGCAACAUGACUGGGGACGCACACCCGCAGGCUGGUGCCUGUAGUUUGUCUCUGAUUACAAUGGACUCGCGUCAGACUGCCGGGGUCCGGACUGGAUGCCGCUGCGCCUCUUCUGAAUGUUGCGUCAAACAUGUUGCACCAGACAUGAUGAAACACUGCCGGACCGGAAUGGAAUGUUCUCCAGCAAAGGAGCAGGAUAUCUACAAGCCUUGUAACAAAAAAAUUGCUGUUCUGCUGCUUCCUCCCCAGGCCCCAUUAUUAAAAUGACCCUCCUGUGGCCACACGCUGAUGUCCCUUUGCCUCCUGCUGGCAGAACUGUGAAUGGAAUACUUCAGCAGUAAUCAUCACCUGGAAUAGCGUCCUGUGAGAGUGGGUGCUGAUUGGAGAACCGUGCAUCCACUGGUGACACUCCCCCAGGUGAAUGUGUAGUCAGUGGUGUCUCCCGCAGAACCAUCCAGCUGGACAUUUAAUUUGAGGAAUCUGAUUAAAUUUCUCAUUUAAUUACGCCAUUCUCUGCAGGGCCAUUGAGGACAGUCACGAGGGCCCUUUGCUUUUAAUGUGAGCCAUCUGCUUCCUCUCCAAAAUGCCUACCUUUUCACAGCCCCCACAGCCCCGUGAGCAUCCUCGCACGAACCUCCAGGCUGCACUACCUCCGUUCACUCUGCACAACACCGUCGUCGUCGCACUCGACUGUAGUCUUACUGCGUGUAACCAGAACAAAAGUACUUUUCACUUUAACCUGUGUGACCCUAAUUGUGGGUGGCUGUGGCUCAGAGGUCGUCCACAAACCAGAAGGUUGGUGGUUCGAUCCCUGAUUCCCCCAUGGUCACUGUAAUAUCACUUUGAGUGGUCAAUAAGACUGGACGAGCGCCACACAAGUACAGUCCAUUUACCAUCUAAUCAAUCAUGCAGACUGCAAAAAAAUCAGCUCUUACAUGUAGAGACAAAUUUCCCACAGACCAAUGAGACAUCACCAAGAAUGUAAAUGAGCAAAUAAAGUUUGCAGUAACUAAUAACGAUUCCAAUCCACAUCGAUAUGUGCAACAGUAAUGUGCACAUGUUCAGUAUCAUACAAUAUAAGAUUUUUUUAUAAUAUAAAAAUCCUAAUUCAAGCCCCACUUACUCGGUGGAAUUUAUUUUUAAUUUUUUAUACAAUUGAUCAAGUUGUAAUAAACUCAAUCUGCAUUAAUUCAGACUAUUCUGAGAAUAAUUGUUAAAGUCAGUCGUGGGGAACGUCCAGCCCCCGGGCCGUAUACCGUAUACAGCCCACGAGGCAAUUCUCAAAUACCAAAAAAAAGUUAAAACAUCUCAUGACAGCAAUUCAUUUUUUUUUCUGUUAUAAAAGAAAAUAACAUAAAGACUGGACUAGCAUGUCUUUCAGCGUGAUCCCUCCUGGCUCAAUGCCUGUCAGGUGACGAUCAGGAGGACAAACCACAAGUCACCCUGGCUGACGAGCGAUAUGGCGACUGUGAAGAAAAGAAAAGCAGGUGCUGAAUGUUGAGCUUUUUCAAUAAAACAAACGUGCAAUUAUGUUGUGUUGACGUGAACAGAGAGCCUGUGAAGGAAAAAGGUAAAUUUCAAGAGUCAUUACCGCUGGAAACAUACAGCUAAAUCAGAUAGUCUGCGAGGGCAAACACUCUUGGAUAAAGUUGAUGCUCUUUGGUGGAGUUUGUUUGGCCUCCAAGCAGCUUUCGCAAGACACAUUCUGACACAAGCAAUGUUAAUGUGGGCAAGUAUUGCUGAAAGCGUGCCAGGAGCUAAGACGCUGAAACCUUUUUCAGAAGGAGAAUUCCAGAGGAGCUUUGUUGCUGAAGAGCUGUUGCACCAGACAAAGUGAAACAAAGCCAAAGUGUCGGUUUGUCUCAAAGAACUGUUGAUGACUGAUAUGGCACGACAAGAUACUGAAAAAAAAUCAGCACUGAAGGACAUUACAAGAAAUGCCUCAAAUGCCACAUAAAUAUGUGGGAUUACUGUAGCUUGGCUGUCACUGUAAGCCAUGGCACCUGCACCAAAUGUGAGGAUUUGUUUCAACAAGUUGUUUUGGUUUUAACCGAUUCUGAAUAGCAUCGUCUUCACUACCAUCUGACAUCAGAUGCCUCGCCACAGAAAAAGAGUUCAAGCCACCACAUUUUGAGGUUGGUGUGAUAUUUGUAUGACCCAUGAAGGAUGUUAUAAAAACUUUUAAUGGCCCUUAAGUGGAAAAUUAGAGCCAUGCUCCAAGUAAGAAUGUCAAAAAUUUACUGGUGCAGCUUCUGAGGAUUUGUUCCUGCAAACUAUAAUAGUUGUAUUAAGUAUGUAAAAAGUUUUCUGCCAGUAAAAGUACAAAUUGAAAAAAAAGGAAUAUGAAAAUGUUAAUUUAAUGGCAUCACAAAGGUAUCUGGUCCGGACCUUUUGAUUACUUUCUGGCUUUUUAAAGAGAUUGGUAAAUAAUGAAAAUAAUCAUAAGAUGCAGUCAUAAUGUAAUCUAAAAGAUUAAAAAGCAGCAGUGUCCCUUCUCACUACUGUUUCAGAAAAUCACUUUUCAUCUAGAAGAAUGUGCGACCUCUUAGUCGGGAAAAACAAUACCUCACGAACAGCAAUCAGUGUAGACUUAAUUAACAGUCUAAAAUUAAAAAGCCAAGGGAAAAUUUGUGGUCAUAAUUUAAGCAAUAAGCCACAAGGCUCCGAGAAGCCAAAGCUGUGAUCUAUUUGUUUUCUUUUGCGAAACAUUGCCUUGAAGCUGUUUUGAAAUCAACCGUGACAUGAUCCAGGCUUAUAGCUUUAAUAAAAAGGCUGAGUUCCACUGUGGUUUUUAUUUUUUUUAAAUGUACGUUCAAUAAAUAGCAUGCAAAUAACAAUAAAACUAAAACAGAUGGGUGAUAUGUUCCUCGUGAUAAAUUUUGACCUGAGAAUAUUAUAAAACAAGAUGCAGCCAGGGAGUUUUUCAUCAGAUGUUGGGGACUAAUUUUUGCGCUUUCAUCUCAGCUGCUGUUAAGAAAUUCAAUUUUCUCCAGAGGCAGUAUAUCCUCCCUGCUUGCACUGCGGUGUGGUGUUCAGAAACAUGUGGAAAAAGGGAACAGAUCAUGUGUUAUAAUUAAUAAUACAGCAAAAAGUUGCAUCUAUAGCAUGCAACCUGGAUGCCUGACAGAGUGCCACUGCAAUAAUUUGGUGCAGAGCCACUUGCUUUUGUUUCACUAUGAAAGCACAAGUCAUAGCCGUGAUGACCUUACCGCCACUAUCCAGAGUCCUUCUAUGCGGUUUCUGGUAGUUUCAUGAGGCAUUUGUAAUGUGUGCUUUGACAUUCUAAUCUCUUUCGCUCUUUGGGAGCUGGGAUCCUAAAGGCGUCCUAACACUUUCUCUGACAGUUAAAUUGUGUUUCGGAUUAAAAAAAAGAAAAGGUGAGAAAUAUAUGUUUCAUGCGAGUCCAGCCACGACACCGACAUCGUCCCUCGGGCAUCUCCUUCCUCUUUGCCCUUAAGUGGUUUGCGAGUCACACUUGUAUUAUUUUUUCAAACACAUUUCACAUGUUGACAGUCGGUGCAUAAUGUACGACCUCGUGCAUCAAUUAUGUACUGCAAUUCAGGCUAUGACCAUAUAUAAUUUAUUUGAUUUCUCAAUGUCCUCCAUUAUUUAAUCAGAUGCUAUUUUUACCAUUAUUACUCUCCCCGAAUAGUUUGAUCUUUUGUGGGUCUCUCGUCUAGUUCUUCAGAUCAUUGUGUCAUGUUUCUGCACUGAAUCUACUCUGCAUUAAAGCUUCAGGAGGGUGUUGCCAGCAUGUGUCUGCCUCAGCAGGACAACCUUAAGAGGGGUAGCAUGAUAAAACUGCAAAGAGGGGUUCAGAAGUAAGUCUUUAGCAAGCCAGUAGCAGUGUUUUGGUUUCCGUUAAAAGCUAAGAAAAAGCUCUGUGUCUCGGAAAUGUCAAAGAAGUGGAAUGUACUCCAGGACAGCAACAUACAGGAAUAUUCCUGGCCUGCGUCUUUCCAUCUGGAUUAAUUUGUAACAGUUUAAAACUUGUCAUAUAGGAAAAAAAUAUUGCAUUAGAGCUAUAUUUGAAAAAAGAAGGCCCUCCUUUUGAGGCUGACUUGUUUUUAAUGCCAAUUUUUUCGAGAUAAUAAUUGGUUGAGAGUUAAAAAAAUAAAAGCAGCGUGACUUUGAAAAACUCAAAAUUAGGGCAUGUACUGACAUUUCAUUCAAAGAUUAAAGUACCAUAACUUGUCCGACCAAACCUUGUCCUUCCCAUUUAAUGGAAUCACAAUCGGUUGACAUCAAAGCCAACCAUUUUUAGAUCUGUUUUCGCUGCUUUCUUGGCAGCGCCUGGUUACAUUUCAUUUCUGUCGGGCACGAGAGGCA
This is a long non-coding RNA of Scophthalmus maximus (turbot), 5241 nucleotides long. The record is from Ensembl. Lineage: Eukaryota; Metazoa; Chordata; Actinopteri; Pleuronectiformes; Scophthalmidae.